This 858-nucleotide long non-coding RNA is filed under the name Gopherus agassizii (Agassiz's desert tortoise). RNAcentral's name for it is "lncRNA (ENSGAGG00000017175.1)". Lineage: Eukaryota; Metazoa; Chordata; Testudines; Testudinidae. The record is from RNAcentral.
CAGGAACAUUUUGUCCUGGUGGUUCAUCCCUUCCUAUUCCCUGUACCCCAGGCUCAUACUGUGCAUCUGCAGAGCUGGCUGCGCCAUCUGGUCCCUGUGAUGCUGGCUUUUACUGCAUUGGGGGGUCCACACUCCCCAACCCAACAGAUGGGGCAGUGGGAAAUAUUUGUCCUCCAGGCUACGUGUGUCCCCAAGGAAGUUCUUCUCCAUCUCCAUGUCCCUCAGGCUCUUUUUUGGCCCAUCAGGGUGGCCAAUCAGCACAAGAUUGCCAGCACUGUUUAGCAGGAUGGUUCUGCUCCCACCGAGGUCAAAGUACACCAGAGGGGAGAUGUAAGGAGGGCUGGUUUUGCCCAGAGGGGUCUGUAUCAGGCCUUAAUCCAGAUUAUAUAUGUCCUGUUGGUCACUAUUGCCCAACAGGCAGCCCAGAGCCCAAACCCUGUCCCUCUGGGAAAUACCAGGACCAGACUGGUCAAAGCCUGUGCAAGACGUGCCCAGCAGGAAAGUUCUGUGGCCCAGAAGUCCAAAUCCAAGAUCACAAGGAGACCUUUUCACAUGGAACGAUCAAGCCAGCAGAUUGCCCGGCUGGAUACUACUGCCUCUCAGGAACUAAAACUGCCAAGCAGUACCCAUGCCCCAAGGGCACCUUCAGUAACCAGACUGGGCUGAGCAAUUCCAAGGACUGCAGAGCUUGCCCUGGGGGAAAAUUCUGUGCAGAUGCAGGUCUCUUGACCCCGAGUGGCCCUUGUUUGCCCAGGUAUUACUGCAUUUUGAAGGCACGUGUACCUAAUCCUGUUAAAGAUGAAACUGGAGACUUGUGCCCAGCAGGACACUUCUGCCCACUGGGUAGCAGCAGCCCAG